UGUGAGGAUGCCCUUAAUCCCCUGCCCGGGGACGAGGAGCCGGCAUCAGGCACGCCCAAGCAGCCCAAGACGCCUUGCUAAGCCACACCCCCAAGGAAACCCAGCAGUGAUAAAUAUUAAGCCAUAAGCGAAAGCUUGACUUAGUUAAAGUUAAGAGGGCCGGUAAAACUCGUGCCAGCCACCGCGGUUAUACGAGAGGCCCUAGUUGAUAACUACCGGCGUAAAGAGUGGUUACGGAAAAUAUUUAAUAAAGCCGAACACCCCCUCAGCCGUCAUACGCACCUGGGGGCACGAAGAUCUACUACGAAAGCAGCUUUAAUUAUACCUGAACCCACGACAGCUACGACACAAACUGGGAUUAGAUACCCCACUAUGCCUAGCCGUAAACUUUGAUGGAAACAUACAACUGACAUCCGCCAGGGGACUAUAAGCGCCAGCUUAAAACCCAAAGGACUUGGCGGUGCCUCAGACCCACCUAGAGGAGCCUGUUCUAGAACCGAUAACCCCCGUUCAACCUCACCACCUCUUGUUUUCCCCGCCUAUAUACCACCGUCGUCAGCUUACCCUGUGAAGGCCUUAUAGUAAGCAAAAUGGGCAAAACCCAAAACGUCAGGUCGAGGUGUAGCGCAUGGGGUGGGAAGAAAUGGGCUACAUUCUCUAAAUUAGAGCACU
RNAcentral lists this ribosomal RNA (672 nucleotides) under Salmo salar (Atlantic salmon). RNAcentral's name for it is "partial 12S ribosomal RNA". It matches the Rfam family "Bacterial small subunit ribosomal RNA", at positions 202 to 1248 of the family's 1533-position model. Lineage: Eukaryota; Metazoa; Chordata; Actinopteri; Salmoniformes; Salmonidae. The record is from RNAcentral.